ACAAUCCUACAGUAACUUCAUAUGUGAGACUAAUGAUUUAA
RNAcentral lists this non-coding RNA (41 nucleotides) under Trypanosoma brucei brucei. Lineage: Eukaryota; Euglenozoa; Kinetoplastea; Trypanosomatida; Trypanosomatidae. The record is from RNAcentral.